UGGGGAAUAUUGCACAAUGGGCGCAAGCCUGAUGCAGCCAUGCCGCGUGUAUGAAGAAGGCCUUCGGGUUGUAAAGUACUUUCAGUCGGGAGGAAGGUGGUAAGGUUAAUAACCUUAUCAAUUGACGUUACCGACAGAAGAAGCACCGGCUAACUCCGUGCCAGCAGCCGCGGUAAUACGGAGGGUGCAAGCGUUAAUCGGAAUUACUGGGCGUAAAGCGCACGCAGGCGGUUGAUUGAGUCAGAUGUGAAAUCCCCGGGCUUAACCCGGGAAUUGCAUCUGAAACUGGUCAGCUAGAGUCUUGUAGAGGGGGGUAGGAUUCCAUGUGUAGCGGUGAAAUGCGUAGAGAUGUGGGGGAAUACCGGUGGCGAAGGCGGCCCCCUGGACAAAGACUGACGCUCAGGUGCGAAAGCGUGGGGAGCAAACAGG
Molecule: ribosomal RNA, 429 nt
Filed under: Chloroflexota bacterium
Lineage: Bacteria; Bacillati; Chloroflexota
Description: Chloroflexi bacterium partial 16S ribosomal RNA
Rfam family: Bacterial small subunit ribosomal RNA
Source: RNAcentral